Molecule: ribosomal RNA, 429 nt
Filed under: Chloroflexota bacterium
Lineage: Bacteria; Bacillati; Chloroflexota
Description: Chloroflexi bacterium partial 16S ribosomal RNA
Rfam family: Bacterial small subunit ribosomal RNA
Source: RNAcentral
UGGGGAAUAUUGCACAAUGGGCGCAAGCCUGAUGCAGCCAUGCCGCGUGUGUGAAGAAGGCCUUCGGGUUGUAAAGCACUUUCAGCGGGGAGGAAGGCGAUAAGGUUAAUAACCUUGUCGAUUAACGUUACCCGCAGAAGAAGCACCGGCUAACUCCGUGCCAGCAGCCGCGGUAAUACGGAGGGUGCAAGCGUUAAUCGGAAUUACUGGGCGUAAAGCGCACGCAGGCGGUCUGUCAAGUCGGAUGUGAAAUCCCCGGGCUCAACCUGGGAACUGCAUUCGAAACUGGCAGGCUAGAGUCUUGUAGAGGGGGGUAGAAUUCCAGGUGUAGCGGUGAAAUGCGUAGAGAUCUGGAGGAAUACCGGUGGCGAAGGCGGCCCCCUGGACAAAGACUGACGCUCAGGUGCGAAAGCGUGGGGAGCAAACAGG